UGAGUUGUGAGCCCUUCAGGAGAGCAUUGCCUAUCUUGACAGGUCAGAAGCCAGAGACUCUAAGGAGAAAGGUCCUGGAUUCGACAAAUAACGACAACAAAAGCAUCACACGUUUACACCAGGUAAGGAAGAGGGAGGUGCUUUUCACUUGGACCUCUCUCCUCUGGAAGAAGGAAAUACUUUGUCUUCUUUUCUGAACUGAAUGUGAAGACCCAGGAAGGAAAAGGCAGCUUCCCUGGAGACACUGACAAGAAAACCAGAGGUUUUGGAGCUCAGAUCUUCAACCUUGAGGCCACUUUCAUGAGGGUUUAAACAUGCUCAGAAUGUCUCACUACAGGCUGGUGGAAGCAAGUCUUGGCUGGGCAGCAUCGGAAGCAUUCUCCUUGCUAACUAAUCAGUCAGCACAUGCCUACCCAGCUAGAGGACGAAACUGACGCGCAGAUGAAAAACAUGGAAAACAGUGACCUGGUGUACAAAUAAGGAAAAGAAUCAUGUCAUUACCAGACAUACUUCUCAGAGAUCAUUUGAAGUUACCCUAGACAGAAUUGUUUUAGCCUGGGAUGGCCUUGUCCACCCUGAUCGCCCGGUUCACCCUUUAAUAGGAGUCAAGAGAAAUCUCAUGUAAAGCAAAUAAGAAAUGAGCUGUAUUAAUGUGAUUUUCUUUAAAUGUUGGAAUUAUUGAAUACUCUCACAACAUACUGGGGACCCUUGUUGUCCAGUGGCACCUCUGAGUCCCGGACACCCACAUGGCCCUAGGAAUGGAAAAGAGUCUAUUAAUUCAAGUAAGCUCAGUCAUGUGACCUAUACUGUUAUCACUUAAAGUGGGAGCAGAGUAUUCUAGAACUUAAUUUAAAUAUAGAGCCUUCUUUGAAACAGGAUAGAACAUAUAGUUGAGAAGUAUUUUGAUGAAUCUGGUAUAUUAUAUUGGACAAAUAUAGUAUUUUUGGUUUUGUUUUAAAAUGUGAAUUAUUGCAGAGGACUGGAUGGUAGAUUAGGAUGGUGCCUAAUCUUUGAAGCCUGUAAAUGUGGUAUGAUGUAGAAAAAGAGUCUUUAUACUUUAAAUGGUCCCCAAAGGGCAUGGCACUGUUAGGAGGCAUGGCUCUGUUAGAGUGGGUGUGGCCUUUUCGGAUGAAGUGUGUAAUUGUGGGGGCAGGCUCUGAGGUCUCCUUUGCUCAAGCUUCCCUCAGUGUGAUUGUCAGUUGACUUCCUG
Peromyscus leucopus (white-footed mouse) is the source of this 1210-nucleotide long non-coding RNA. RefSeq lists it as uncharacterized. The transcript has 6 exons. Lineage: Eukaryota; Metazoa; Chordata; Mammalia; Rodentia; Cricetidae. The record is from RefSeq and is a predicted model, not a curated record.